This 1221-nucleotide long non-coding RNA is filed under the name Nicotiana benthamiana. RNAcentral describes it as "long non-coding RNA (NBEN_LNC033795)". Lineage: Eukaryota; Viridiplantae; Streptophyta; Magnoliopsida; Solanales; Solanaceae. The record is from RNAcentral.
AAAAUGAGAAAAAGAUAAAAAUAGACAAAGAAAAAGAAAAUUGACAAUUUCUAUGAUAAAAUAAGAUAUGGAAGAAACAGACUCCGAGAUCUAAAAAAAUGAAAAUAGAUAAUGGUUCUUUGCACCCUCAAGUUACUACUUGUAAGAACCAAUACCAAGUUAUGAUGGUUGUACUCCAACGACCUCCCGACUUUUCUACCGUGAAUACCUGCCACAUCGGUACUACAUACAUAUCCUAUAGGCCGCGACUGCUAGAGGAGUAAGCUUAUCCCGUCAAUGUCGUUUGCCUCCAAUUUUCUAAUCUUUAAGGUCACGAGCUAAUGCCACAUCGGUACUACAUACAUAUCCUUUAGGCCGCGACUGCUAGAGGAGUAAGCUUAUCCCGUCAAUGUCGUUUGCCUCCAAUUUUCUAAUCUUUAAGGUCACGAGCUAGCCCAACUUUCUAGCUAGUCGCUUUGAUCUUCAGUUGGGGGUGAACGACAUUGACAGGUUAAGCUUGCUCCUAUAAUUGUCGCAUGCCAAAGGCCGUAGAUGUUGAACAGUUCAUUAGUACGUUGUAGCAGGUGUUCACGGCACAAAAGGUGGGAGGUCACCGGAGUACAAAUCAUAACUUGAUAUUGAGUAUGAUUAAUAUAACUUGGGGGUGCAAAGAAUAGUCAUUAGCAAGAAAUUACUAUCAACUCCAUAACUAAACAGUACUUUAGAAAAUCUGAACUAUCCCAUACUUUGAUGUCUUCUCCAAUGCAUUUUUAAUGAAAGAGAAAGAAGUCAAAAGUUGGUUCCAAUGAGAAAGUUCAUAAUUUAGAUCCAGUCUAAGAAUAUUUUGCACUUUUUCCAUUCAUGUUGAAUCAUCUCUACAUAAAUAUCAUAAAGAGUAAAAAGACUCAUAACGAAUGAGCUAUGAAUACAACAAAAUCAGAAUUCUUUCACGCUCCUUUGUAUCUGCCGUAUUUUUAAACUAACUUCUUUAUAUGAUAAAUUAUACUCCAAUUUAAUAUUCUUCGCGCAACAAACGAGUACGAAUACUAGCUAGUAACAAUAAUAAGAUAGGAAAUAGCAUAACUAAUUAAAGCAUGAAUAACCUACUCUCAAACCACUUGGAUUACUACUCACAUGCAUGCCUUAAAAAUCCUUUAUAAAUAGCAUCAGAUGAUCCAUCAUCCACCACACCAGCUUAUCAUCAUUCACAACAAAUCACCCAAUCCUAAACAUACAUACUUU